This 803-nucleotide ribosomal RNA is filed under the name uncultured Candidatus Scalindua sp. Its description in RNAcentral is "bacterial SSU rRNA". It matches the Rfam family "Bacterial small subunit ribosomal RNA", at positions 52 to 832 of the family's 1533-position model. Lineage: Bacteria; Pseudomonadati; Planctomycetota; Candidatus Brocadiia; Candidatus Brocadiales; Candidatus Scalinduaceae. The record is from RNAcentral.
GGCAUGCAAGUCGAACGAGGAUGUAUCCUUCGGGAUAUAAGCCGAGUGGCGCAAGGGUGAGUAAUGCAUAGAUUACCUGCCUUUAGGGUAAGGACAACUUUGUGAAAACGAAGCUAAUACUUAAUAAUACAAAAGGAAAUAAUUUUCUUUUGUCAAAUGGAGGGUAGCAAUAUCUUUUACCUAAAGAGGGGUUUAUGUCCUAUCAGCUUGUUGGUGGGGUAAUGGCCUACCAAGGCAAAGACGGGUAGCCGGCCUUAGAGGGUGGUCGGCCACACUGGGACUGAGACACUGCCCAGACUUCUACGGAAGGCUGCAGUCGAGAAUCUUUCGCAAUGCCCGAAAGGGUGACGAAGCGACGCCGCGUGGGUGAGGAAGGCCUUCGGGUUGUAAAGCCCUGUCAGGAGUUAAGAAAUGUAGGCAUGCUAAUACCGUGUCUAUUUGACAAAGGCUCCAAAGGAAGCCACGGCUAACUCUGUGCCAGCAGCCGCGGUAAUACAGAGGUGGCAAGCGUUGUUCGGAAUUAUUGGGCGUAAAGAGCACGUAGGUGGAUUUGUAAGUCAGAUGUGAAAGCCUUCUGUUCAACGGGAGAAUUGCAUCUGAAACUACAAACCUUGAGUAUAGGAGGGGAGAAUGGAACUUCUGGUGGAGCGGUGAAAUGCGUAGAUAUCAGAAGGAACGCCGGCGGCGAAAGCGAUUCUCUGGCCUAUUACUGACACUCAGUGUGCGAAAGCUAGGGGAGCAAACGGGAUUAGAUACCCCGGUAGUCCUAGCCGUAAACGAUGGGCACUAAGUAGAGGGGUUUU